This 429-nucleotide ribosomal RNA is filed under the name Chloroflexota bacterium. RNAcentral describes it as "Chloroflexi bacterium partial 16S ribosomal RNA". It matches the Rfam family "Bacterial small subunit ribosomal RNA", at positions 355 to 776 of the family's 1533-position model. The record is from RNAcentral. Lineage: Bacteria; Bacillati; Chloroflexota.
UGGGGAAUAUUGCACAAUGGGCGCAAGCCUGAUGCAGCCAUGCCGCGUGUGUGAAGAAGGCCUUCGGGUUGUAAAGCACUUUCAGCGGGGAGGAAGGCGCUAAGGUUAAUAACCUUGGCGAUUGACGUUACCCGCAGAAGAAGCACCGGCUAACUCCGUGCCAGCAGCCGCGGUAAUACGGAGGGUGCAAGCGUUAAUCGGAAUUACUGGGCGUAAAGCGCACGCAGGCGGUCUGUCAAGUCGGAUGUGAGAUCCCCGGGCUCAACCUGGGAACUGCAUUCGAAACUGGCAGGCUAUAGUCUUGUAGAGGGGGGUAGAAUUCCAGGUGUAGCGGUGAGAUGCGUAGAGAUCUGGAGGAAUACCGGUGGCGAAGGCGGCCCCCUGGACAAAGACUGACGCUCAGGUGCGAAAGCGUGGGGAGCAAACAGG